GGUGAGGCAGGAAUAGGUGUGGCAGUCUCUGUGUCAGAGCGACAGGAGCCCUCCUCCCAGACAGAGCUGCCAGCUGAGGGCUGGGCAGGGCCUGGUCCGGUCACAUUCCAGGCCCAAGGGACUUUACUGGUGGAGCUAAAGUGAAAGUGAAGUGAGCCGUGGGGCACAUGCUGCUCAGGCUGAGGUGGGGCCAGCCGCCAGCUCCCCACAGCAGGGCUGGGUUGGCUGAGGGCAAAGGGCUCCCCAUGGCUCUGGCUUGGGCAGGGACUGCAGCCCGAGGGGGGGGCAGCCUGGGGGCAAGGAAGCAGGAGCUUCCCUGGACACCAGAGACCGUCCUGCAGAGCACUUGAUGGGGUGGGAGGUUGCCAGGUGGGUGUAUCCCAGCAAAGCCCCUCGGUGCCAGAGGGGAGGGGGCAGUGGCUGGGCAACCGGAGAACUUCAAUCCAGGGCAACAACUGCCACAUCUCCUUGACAGUGACUAGAAAGAGCCGCUGGGCUCAUGCCCCCGACGACCCUCCAGCACACAGGCCUGGCCCUGUGGGAGGGGCUGUCACGGGAACCGGACGGGUGCCCUACAGCAGCACUAGGCAGCCCAGAGCUGUGGGAUCAAGGCACCAAGGCAGCUGUCACUGCGCCUCUGGGAGAGCAGGAGGGGUUCACCCCUCACUGACCAGGGGCAGCACCCAGAGGCAGUGCCAGCCCCAGCUCCGCACCCCCCCACAGCGUGGGCCAUUGCUCGAGUCGGGAGAGCCUGGUGGCUCUGCGCAGUCUGAGGUAUCCAGCCUUGUUUCUCCCCCUCCUGCACUGGUACGGGCUGAGUUUGGUUUAAUCAUUGCCGAGAAAGCUGGCAGGCAGAACUGUGCCCAGCACUUCCUGCUCCAAGGUGCAGCCUCCCAGGCAAAGUUUAAACCGAGCGAAGGGCAGCGCGUGCGACGUCACAGUGCCGACUGGCCCUCACACAACAGCCGGGAUAGGGCUAGCCAGCCAAACGCUGCACCACCACCGCAGAGGGCAGAGUUGAGUCCGUGUGGCCCGUUCAGUUCUUGGCCUCUGCUGAGGAUGCCAGUUCUGGGGCAAUCAGCGUCACCUUUUUAUGGUGUUGGCAGCAGCCCCUAGGCGCUGGCCCAACCCCAGAGCAAACCCUUUCCCACAGGCCCGGAACAGCUGAGUGAUGAGAACAGCUGGUAGUCACAUGGCCAGGUUGGAACCGGUGCCCUAGAGGGGAAAGGCCCCAUAUCUCAUUUCCUAACCCUCAGCAGCCAGACAAUGCCCCUGCCCCAGGGAUGGAGCUCAGCCAGUGCCCUGGAAGGGGAAAGCCUCGCGUCCCAUUCUCUAGCCCAGUGGUCAUCAGCCCAUCAAUCACCAUCAACUGGUCGAUCCUG
This 1382-nucleotide long non-coding RNA is filed under the name Chrysemys picta bellii (western painted turtle). RNAcentral describes it as "lncRNA (ENSCPBG00000000728.1)". Lineage: Eukaryota; Metazoa; Chordata; Testudines; Emydidae. The record is from RNAcentral.